UAGGGAAUCUUCGGCAAUGGACGGAAAGUCUGACCGAGCAACGCCGCGUGAGUGAAGAAGGUUUUCGGAUCGUAAAACUCUGUUGGUAGAGAAGAACGUUGGUGAGAGUGGAAAGCUCAUCAAGUGACGGUAACUACCCAGAAAGGGACGGCUAACUACGUGCCAG
Molecule: ribosomal RNA, 166 nt
Filed under: uncultured bacterium
Lineage: Bacteria
Description: partial 16S ribosomal RNA
Rfam family: Bacterial small subunit ribosomal RNA
Source: RNAcentral